CAAGGAAGGCAGCAGGCGCGCAAAUUACCCACUCCCGGCACGGGGAGGUAGUGACGAAAAAUAACGAUACGGGACUCAUCCGAGGCCCCGUAAUCGGAAUGAGUACACUUUAAAUCCUUUAACGAGGAUCAAUUGGAGGGCAAGUCUGGUGCCAGCAGCCGCGGUAAUUCCAGCUCCAAUAGCGUAUAUUAAAGUUGUUGCGGUUAAAAAGCUCGUAGUCGAAUCUGUGUCGUGCGCCGCCGGUUCAUCGCUCGCGGUGUCAACUGGCGUGUCGCAGGACGUCCUGCCGGUGGACUUAGCUUCGUUUCGGCGAGGCGGUCCAACUUCAACAAUCCCACCGCGGUGCUCUUCGCUGAGUGUCGAGGUGGGCCGGCACGUUUACUUUGAACAAAUUAGAGUGCUUAAAGCAGGCUAAAAACUCGCCUGAAUAUUGUGUGCAUGGAAUAAUGGAAUAGGACCUCGGUUCUAUUUUGUUGGUUUUCGGAACCCCGAGGUAAUGAUUAAUAGGAACGGAUGGGGGCAUUCGUAUUGCGACGUUAGAGGUGAAAUUCUUGGAUCGUCGCAAGACGAACUUAAGCGAAAGCAUUUGCCAAAAACGUUUUCAUUGAUCAAGAACGAAAGUUAGAGGUUCGAAGGCGAUCAGAUACCGCCCUAGUUCUAACCAUAAACGAUGCCAGCUAGCGAUCCGCCGACGUUCCUCCGAUGACUCGGCGGGCAGCUUCCGGGAAACCAAAGCUUUUGGGUUCCGGGGGAAGU
This 756-nucleotide ribosomal RNA is filed under the name Epitoxus sp. MSC-2013. RNAcentral describes it as "SSU rRNA". It matches the Rfam family "Eukaryotic small subunit ribosomal RNA", at positions 417 to 1124 of the family's 1831-position model. The record is from RNAcentral. Lineage: Eukaryota; Metazoa; Arthropoda; Insecta; Coleoptera; Histeridae.